Non-coding RNA from Camellia sinensis, 197 nucleotides. Lineage: Eukaryota; Viridiplantae; Streptophyta; Magnoliopsida; Ericales; Theaceae. The record is from RefSeq and is a predicted model, not a curated record.
GAUUGUGGGAUGCGGCUAACCCAAGUUAUUGUUUAAAUGCAUACACCGGGCACCCUAAUCAUGUUAUAUCCCUGGAUUUCCAUCCCAAGAAGAACGAUCUUUUCUGUUUUUGUGAUAGUAACAAUGAAAUUCGCUAUUGGAAUAUCAAUCCAUUCACUUGCGCUCGUGUUUCUAAGCAAGGAGGCAGUGCUCAGGUA